RNAcentral lists this transfer RNA (71 nucleotides) under Apaloderma vittatum (bar-tailed trogon). It matches the Rfam family "tRNA". From Rfam's summary of the family: Transfer RNA (tRNA) molecules are approximately 80 nucleotides in length. Their secondary structure includes four short double-helical elements and three loops (D, anti-codon, and T loops). Further hydrogen bonds mediate the characteristic L-shaped molecular structure. tRNAs have two regions of fundamental functional importance: the anti-codon, which is responsible for specific mRNA codon recognition, and the 3' end, to which the tRNAs corresponding amino acid is attached (by aminoacyl-tRNA synthetases). tRNAs cope with the degeneracy of the genetic code in two manners: having more than one tRNA (with a specific anti-codon) for a particular amino acid; and 'wobble' base-pairing, i.e. permitting non-standard base-pairing at the 3rd anti-codon position. The record is from Rfam by way of RNAcentral. Lineage: Eukaryota; Metazoa; Chordata; Aves; Trogoniformes; Trogonidae.
GGCCAGUUAGCUCAUCGGUUGAGUGUGAUGCUGAUAACACCAAGGUCGCGGGUUCGAUCCCUGUUUGGUCC